This is a long non-coding RNA of Cyprinus carpio (common carp), 1063 nucleotides long. Lineage: Eukaryota; Metazoa; Chordata; Actinopteri; Cypriniformes; Cyprinidae. The record is from Ensembl.
UAAUGGUGUCAUAUGUUGUCGCCAAGCACAGCGACUCUGGACACUGUUUGUGUCCGUGUUGAAAAGCAGCACAUUUGAUUUGGUUUGGUUUACGGGUUGCGUGCAUUUGCACGUGUGGAUUUAGGGAGUUUUUACCACUUUCCUUUAAAGUUAUCUAUGUUUACCAGUGUCAUAUGGGUUAGCCUGUCUCUCCUGCCUUGGGCUCUAGACACAACAACAGUGCUUGUUAGUGACAUAUGCUGGGAAGAGCUGCCCCUCUUAUCCUUAGCCCUUAAUGAAGCGAGUCCAGCCCAUCAACACACCCUCAACUCCCCUCAACUUCCCACCCCUAUAUUAUAGGGCAAUGUGUGCUUCUUCCCGCAUGCACACAAUGUCCUCUUCUCCUCAUUCUGUAACCUAUCCCCUUUGUCCUGUCUCCAAAACUCAUACCAGGGUAAGCUAGAGAUGUCUGCAUUCCUGAAACGUUCCCCUUCUGUCCUGCCCAAACCUGUCCAGAUUAAGAAAGAGUGCAAAUGCAUUUUAAGUAUGCAAGGUUAACAUUAUAGAGAGUUUAUGCAAGAGCACGUAUAUGAGGGUGUUCUAUUGUACUAUGCUAUUUUUCUGUUUUUUUUUUUUUUCCACACACAAACCACCUUGUUUGAUUUUUAUUGAAAAAUCUUUAGAAGCACACUAUUUGUCUGUGUUGCAAACUUACUCAUACAUUUCGAAACCAUUUCUACAAGCAACAAGAUUGGAAAAGAUAAUAAAUGCAUUCUCAUCAACUCAGGCUCAGACUGACUGUGAAAUUAAACCAAUCACCAAAGCAAUUACAACAGUGGAGGAGAGGGUCAGAUCGAUAACAGCCCCAUUAUGAAUAGCCGAUAAAGAGAGAGAAAACACCCAGGAAUCAGGGAAUCCCUGGAUGGCAUCAACACCUCCAUGCAGACAUUGGGAAGGUAAUUAUUUUUAUUAAGCUUCUGUUUAAGUAGGGUUACUUUAUGGCAGCAUUCACCAAUUUAAAAUAAUAAUAAUAAUAAUAAUAAUAAUAAUAAUAAUAAAUGCUGUAUCCUUAUUUUUUAUGUCA